Long non-coding RNA from Lotus japonicus, 982 nucleotides. RefSeq lists it as uncharacterized. The record is from RefSeq and is a predicted model, not a curated record. Lineage: Eukaryota; Viridiplantae; Streptophyta; Magnoliopsida; Fabales; Fabaceae. The transcript has 3 exons.
GGAAAAAGGAAUUUACAGAGAGGAACUUGGAAAGCAAUUUUCAGACACAGAGACAAGUAGUAACUGAGAACGAAAUAUUUGAUUACAGACAGGCAGCUAAUAUACCAAAUACUCAGCCACCUAGAAUGAUAGAGUGUGUUUGUGGUGGAGUGUAGUGGUGAUGUAGAGUGUGCUAAUGGUUAUGCCAAUGAUGACUAAUGGUUGUGGAUUUCUAAGGGUGGCAACAAGAAUGGUGGAAGGACCUAAAUUGUGGCAAGUGGCAACAAUAACAAUGGCGGAUAUCAGGGGACGGUGGAGGGUGUUGGACAACGAAGGUGGACGGAGUCGCACGAUAGUGGGAGGUGACAUUGGUAGUUGGGUGAUGGAGGGGAAGGGAACUAGACAUCAGUCACAUCAAGAGUGUCAGACAAUACGACUCAAUUAUGGAUAAAAGAAAUUAUACAAGCAUUGAAACCAUUAAUCUCAUAUUUUUGGUGAUGUAGAUUUGAAUUAUUUAAGGCGCUCAUUGGUAUUUGGCAGUUAGCAAAAGUGAUGGCCUUAUCUAGCAUAUCGCUUGAGGGAGGUUUUGUUCUCGGUCAUUGCACCACAACCAACAUUGUUCUAGCUUAGGAGAUGAUGCAAUUCAUGAAAAGAACCAAGCUUCGCACGAGUGUUCCGACUAUCAAGAUUGAUAUGGAAAAAGUACAUGAUAAAUGUAAAUUAGAAUUAUCUUCAUUUAAUGGUUAAAGGGCUCGGUUUCCCUAGGCGAAUUCCUUCCUAAUCAUGUGGUGUGCGAAUCUACUAACUUGUCAAUCUUGUAGAAUGACUCCUGACUUGAUGGUUUCACUCCAACUAAGGGCCUUCGGCAAGGUGAGCCGAUGUCUCCAUACCUCUUCCUCUUAUGUACAUGUAUUCUCAUUCAACGAAAAGUUGACUAGAUAGCUUGGAUACUGAUUUAUGUAGCUGAGUAGCUCCAAAUUGUCUAUGAAUAUCACACCUUUUG